CAGUAGCCGCGGGAAUACGAAGGGGGCUAGCGUUGCUCGGAAUUACUGGGCGUAAAGGGCGCGUAGGCGGACAGUUAAGUCGGGGGUGAAAGCCCGGGGCUCAACCUCGGAAUUGCCUUCGAAACUGGCUGUCUUGAGUACGGGAGAGGUGAGUGGAACUCCGAGUGUAGAGGUGAAAUUCGUAGAUAUUCGGAAGAACACCAGUGGCGAAGGCGACUCACUGGCCCGUUACUGACGCUGAGGCGCGAAGGCGUGGGGAGCAAACAGGAUUAGAGACCCCAGUAGUCCCUGUCUCUUAUAC
RNAcentral lists this ribosomal RNA (301 nucleotides) under uncultured bacterium. RNAcentral's name for it is "partial 16S ribosomal RNA". It matches the Rfam family "Bacterial small subunit ribosomal RNA", at positions 509 to 807 of the family's 1533-position model. The record is from RNAcentral.